Molecule: long non-coding RNA, 553 nt
Organism: Pseudophryne corroboree (corroboree frog)
Lineage: Eukaryota; Metazoa; Chordata; Amphibia; Anura; Myobatrachidae
Exons: 3
Source: RefSeq, a predicted model, not a curated record
UACCCUCCUGCAUCUCCAACCAAAACCCUCAAAGGAUUCUGUGCCGGGAGAGCCAGUGGCCUAUACCCAGUGACUGGUGAAAAGAAUGCUUACUGGAACUGCUACAAUGGAAUCACCUACAAACAAUAUUGCUCAGCCGACCUUAUCUUUGACGUGAACUGUGAAUGCUGCAACUACCCUCCUGCAUCUCCAGCCAAAACCCUAAAAGGAUUCUGUGCCGGGAGAGCCAGUGGCCUAUACCCAGUGACUGGUGAACAGAAUGCUUACUGGAACUGCUACAAUGGAAUCACCUACAAACAAUAUUGCUCUGCCGACCUUAUCUUUGACGUGAACUGUGAAUGCUGCAACUACCCUCCGGCCAGUGACUAUGGUAGGGGUGAAGGUGAUUUUGUAUUUUAAGUUGCCAAAACCUGUGGCCUGUAUUGAUUGGCCAGAAACAAGACUGAUAGGCCAAGUGCAAAGGAGUGGAAUUAUCUACAAAUCUCUUUAUAUUGUUGACCCAAUUGACUUUAUUAACUCUGAGCUAUUUCCACUACAGCAUUACAGUAACCCA